This 122-nucleotide ribosomal RNA is filed under the name Scophthalmus maximus (turbot). Lineage: Eukaryota; Metazoa; Chordata; Actinopteri; Pleuronectiformes; Scophthalmidae. The record is from RNAcentral.
GCUUACGGCCACACCGCCUGGUUCACGCACGAUCUCGUUUGAUCUCCCGGGAAGAUAAGAUAGGGUGGGCCUGGUUGGUACUUGGAUGGGAGACCGCCUGGGAAUACCAGGUGCUGUAAGCU